This 634-nucleotide small RNA is filed under the name Arabidopsis thaliana (thale cress). Its description in RNAcentral is "ATSL187610". The record is from RNAcentral. Lineage: Eukaryota; Viridiplantae; Streptophyta; Magnoliopsida; Brassicales; Brassicaceae.
GUAUAUUUUUUUUGUUCCUCCUUGCAUGCUUUUUAACAAGUUUUAUAAACAAAAUUAGACUAUAUUUAUAAUUUUCUGACAAAAUUUAGACACAUGUCAGCAUCGGACCCGGACAGUCUAAAAUGGAACGUACAAGCCGAGAUAGUCCACUGCCGAUGGGCUAUGCUAGGAGCCGCCGGGAUAUUCAUCCCAGAGUUCCUAACGAAGAUCGGAAUCCUCAACACUCCGUCAUGGUACACGGCGGGAGAGCAAGAGUAUUUCACGGACAAAACCACACUCUUUGUCGUUGAGCUCAUUUUGAUCGGAUGGGCAGAAGGACGUAGAUGGGCCGAUAUCAUCAAGCCCGGUAGCGUCAACACUGACCCAGUCUUCCCAAACAACAAACUGACGGGCACAGACGUUGGUUACCCAGGUGGGUUAUGGUUCGACCCGUUGGGUUGGGGAUCCGGUAGCCCGGCUAAGCUCAAGGAGUUGAGGACCAAGGAGAUCAAGAACGGAAGGUUGGCUAUGUUGGCAGUGAUGGGUGCUUGGUUCCAACACAUCUACACUGGCACUGGUCCUAUUGAUAACCUUUUUGCACAUCUUGCUGAUCCUGGUCACGCCACAAUCUUCGCUGUAAGUGUGAUCCAAAUCA